UACGUAGGUGGCUAGCGUUGUCCGGAUUUACUGGGCGUAAAGAGCGCGCAGGCGGUGGUUCAAGUCGAGUGUGAAAGCCCCCGGCUCAACUGGGGAGGGUCACUCGAUACUGGUCGACUUGAAGGCAGGAGAGGGAAGCGGAAUUCCCGGUGUAGUGGUGAAAUGCGUAGAUAUCAGGAGGAACACCGGUGGCGAAGGCGGGUCGCUGGUCCGGUACUGACGCUGAGGUGCGAAAGCGUGGGGAGCAAACAGG
This 253-nucleotide ribosomal RNA is filed under the name uncultured bacterium. RNAcentral describes it as "partial 16S ribosomal RNA". It matches the Rfam family "Bacterial small subunit ribosomal RNA", at positions 524 to 776 of the family's 1533-position model. The record is from RNAcentral.